AUUCCAAUCGAACUCGGAGAUAGCUGGUUCUCCUCGAAAUAGCUUUAGGGCUAGCGUGAGGUGAUAUGAGUACUGGAGGUAGAGCACUGAAUGGGCUAGGGGGUAUAGCACUUACCGAACCUUAUCAAACUCCGAAUGCCAGAUACUUUUAGCCUUGCAGUCAGACUGCGAAUGAUAAGGUCCGUAGUCAAAAGGGAAACAGCCCAGAUCGUCAGCUAAGGUCCCAAAGUGUAAGUUAAGUGGAAAAGGAUGUGGGAUUUCUAAGACAACUAGGAUGUUGGCUUAGAAGCAGCCACUCAUUAAAAGAGUGCGUAAUAGCUCACUAGUCGAGAGAUCCUGCGCCGAAGAUGUCCGGGGCUAAAACUUACCACCGAAGCUACGGGAUUGCAAUAGCAAUCGGUAGAGGAGCGUCGUAAUCGGGCUGAAGUCGUACCGUAAGGAGCGGUGGACUGAUUACGAGUGAGAAUGUUGGCAUUAGUAGCGAGAUGUAGGUGAGAAUCCUACAGGCCGAAUACCUAAGGUUUCCUCAGGAAGGUUCGUCCUCUGAGGGUUAGUCGGGACCUAAGCCGAGGCCGAAAGGCGUAGGUGAUGGACAAUCGGUUGAUAUUCCGAUACCACUAUAAUCGUUAUUAUCGAUGGCGUGACGGAGAAGGAUAGAGUGUGCUAGCUAUUGGAUGCUAGUCUAAGCGUUUAGGGAGUCAGGAUAGGCAAAUCCGUUCUGAUAAUUCUGAGGCGUGAUGGGGAAGGUUCCAAGGAACCGAAGUACUUGAUUCCAUGCUUCCAAGAAAAGCGUCUAGAAAGAGAAGUAGUGCCCGUACCGUAAACCGACACAGGUAGGUGAGGAGAGAAUCCUAAGGCCGGCGGAAGAAUCACAGUUAAGGAACUAGGCAAAUUGACCCCGUAACUUCGGGAUAAGGGGUGCCUGCGCGAGCAGGUCGCAGAGAAUAGGCCCAAGCAACUGUUUAGCAAAAACACAGGUCUCUGCUAAAGCGAAAGCUGAUGUAUAGGGGCUGACGCCUGCCCGGUGCUGGAAGGUUAAGGGGAACACUUAGCGCAAGCGAAGGUGUGAACUUAAGCCCCAGUAAACGGCGGCCGUAACUAUAACGGUCCUAAGGUAGCGAAAUUCCUUGUCAGGUAAGUUCUGACCCGCACGAAUGGCGUAAUGAUUUGGGCACUGUCUCAACUGUGAAUCCGGCGAAGUUGUAGUGCGAGUGAAGAUGCUCGCUACCCGCGAUUGGACGGAAAGACCCCGUAGAGCUUUACUGUAGCUUAGCAUUGAAUUUCGGUAUUGUCUGUACAGGAUAGGUGGGAGACUAGGAAACCAGAGCGUCAGCUUUGGCGGAGUCACCCUUGGGAUACCACCCUGAUAGUACUGAGGUUCUAACUGGAUGCCAUGAAUCUGGUGACAGGACAUUGUUAGGUGGGCAGUUUGACUGGGGCGGUCGCCUCCGAAAGUGUAACGGAGGCGCCCAAAGGUUCCCUCAGAACGGUCGGAAAUCGUUCGAAGAGUGCAAAGGCAGAAGGGAGCCUGACUGCGACACCCACAAGUGGAGCAGGGACGAAAGUCGGGCUUAGUGAUCCGGUGGUACCUCGUGGGAGGGCCAUCGCUCAACGGAUAAAAGCUACCUCGGGGAUAACAGGCUGAUCUCCCCCAAGAGUCCACAUCGACGGGGAGGUUUGGCACCUCGAUGUCGGCUCAUCGCAUCCUGGGGCUGUAUUCGGUCCCAAGGGUUUGGCUGUUCGCCAAUUAAAGCGGCACGCGAGCUGGGUUCAGAACGUCGUGAGACAGUUCGGUCCCUAUCCGUCGCGGGCGUAGGAAAUUUGAGAGGAUCUGCUCCUAGUACGAGAGGACCAGAGUGGACUUACCGCUGGUGUACCAGUUGUUCUGCCAAGAGCAUCGCUGGGUAGCUAUGUAGGGAAGGGAUAAACGCUGAAAGCAUCUAAGUGUGAAGCCCACCUCAAGAUGAGAUUUCCCAUGAUUUU
This 1983-nucleotide ribosomal RNA is filed under the name human gut metagenome. RNAcentral describes it as "bacterial LSU rRNA". It matches the Rfam family "Bacterial large subunit ribosomal RNA", at positions 826 to 2823 of the family's 2925-position model. The record is from RNAcentral.